GCCGAAUCAGCCCGCUGCAGACAGGCAGGUCUGUGCACGCCCUACCGAGGUCCUGAGUCACGCAGAAGACACUGAAUCACCCCACUGCAGACAGGCAGCCACCUGAUUCCACAUUACCAAGGCGCAGAGGACACCAGACCACCAGACCAAGGAUUAGGCUGUCGGGAACCCCAGAGGCAGGUGGCCGGUGAGCAGACUGUGACGGCCCUCAGCUGUCCUAGGGCAGAAGGGACAGCUCCUGUGUGCUGGCUUCCCCACUCAGACUACUUUCUCCUGCACCUCAGUAGCCACUCCCUUCCCAGGAAGGAAGGAAAGAAGGAAGGAAGGAAGGAAGGAGAGAGACAGGUAGACCCUCAAAUGACUACAGGGUAAGAGAUUUGAAAGAACUGAAAAGAGCUGGGCUUGGUGGUGCACACUUGUAAUCCCAGCACUCCAGAGGCUGAGGCAAGAGAAUUGUCAUAAGUUCAAGGCCAACCUGGGCUUCGUAGUGAGCUCAAAACCAGCCUGAAUUACAGAGCGAGACCCUGUCUCAAAAAAACUGGCUCUUACUGUGAGAAAUAACCAUGCUUAAAAAAAAGAAAGAAAGAAAGAACCAUGCCUUUGAGUUUCUAGAGGCAAAGCAGAACUGAGACUCACAAUGCCACUGCCAACGAGAACAAAGGGACUGCAUGCUGGAACCGGAGACUCAGCAUUAAGGUUUUCAUCAGCCUUGGCUGGGAUUGCAAAUCAGGAGAAAAAGGAAGGGAGAGAAGGCAGACAGGCCACAGAGCAUGCCAGCCAUGCCCAGGAUGGACAAGAUCUGGGGAACCCUGGCCAAGGCCAGGAGCCCCACUCGGUCUGCUCUGUGCUCUUCGCCUUCAUCCCCGUAGCUGCCACUUCCUCAUCUCACACAGCAGCCCUUCCCAAAGCCGCAGGCCUGCACACCUGUCAGAAAAGAAUGCACUACGUGUGAUUCGUGAGUGUGUGAGAGGAGGGCUGGGAUCCCUCCAUGCUCUUCUUCUUUUUUGAAAUUUUUUCAGUACCAAGGAUCGAACUCAGGACCUUGUACUUGUGAGGCAGGCGUGGCGUCACUGAGCUACAUCCUGGCCCCCUCAAUGCUCUUCUUACAGUACACGUUUUCAUUACAUAAUGAUGGAAUGUGGGAAGCAAAUGUAAAUUCUUACUAAGUAACAUAAUAUGAUUUUUAUUUUGUUUGUGGGUUUUUGGUACCAGGGAUCGAACUCAGGUCCUGUGAGGCAGGCAACGGAACCACUGAGCUAAAUCCUGGACCCUAACACGAUUUUUAAAAGGGAACAAAGGAAGCACACACCUGAAUGGGUAACAUGAAGUGGUACCUGUGAUAUUAUUAUCAAUACUGUUAUUAACAAUAGCAUUUAUAUUGUGUUUUGAAAAAUAAAAGUGCAUUCUAGUGUUAAAAAAAAAAGGAGCAAAAGAGAAAGUAAGCUCCAUGAAUAAUUUUUGUUCCCCCCCUGUGUCUAAAAUAAUGCUUAGGCCCCAGUACCUACGAAAUAGAUAAGUGUCCCAGACCUGCUCAAGUAUGUAAGGAAGUUACAAGCACUAUAAAAAUAUGUUCUGGCCACAAGCAUACUUAAUACAACAGCAAUAAAAAAUACAUUUCAAACAGUCCUAUUUUAGGGGACUCAAGAGUUUAAAAGGAAUUAAGGGAUAGCAUCCAUUCUAAUAUCUAUUUUUUCUAGGACUGUGUAUCAACCUGUGGACUGUGACAUAUCUUUGCCUAAGACUGCUAAUCUAAAAAUUAAACAUUCAGAACCAAUACACAGUGGGCCUAUAUUUUCUCUGUAGCUUUUGUUACUUGUAGUCUUUAUGCAGUCUAAGAACACGUUCUGCCUUCUCUCAAAAUCCCUUGCUUUUGAGUAAUUUGCUUUUGAAUUUAUAAGUACCUUACCUCAUUAUACACCAUAUUAUUUCUAUCAGAUUAAACCCUGACUGACCCAUAAGAUGUUGAAGAUAUAUUUCUUCAUAUACUAAACAUUUAAAGGCACAUACUUUUAUACCCAGCUCUUGUAAAGCCAUGGGUUGGAAAAGCUUUUAAACAUAAACCAAUAUAUCUAGUCCUAAGAACUUAGCAAUGAAUAAGUGCAACCACUACCCAUUUACUGGUUUUUCAAUAAGUUAACAUGUUAAAGGAGAGGACAGUCCCUUAGAAGUGUGAAAUUCUGCUGCUGCACAAUCAUCUUCUUUAUUCAAGAAACCUGAUAUUGUCUUCAGAACUCACUCCAGAAACCACCUUCUUGGGACAUCAGCAAACAUUCAGGGCAAAAGACACACAAAGCAAACACAGGUCAAAGAGGGUGAAGAGCCAGAGGGCCAGCGCUGGGAGUGUCCUGGAAGCCCGUUGGUCCCAGAACCAGUGGCUGCACUGGUUCUGCUCGGCCACAACCACAACCAGGAUACACGGGGACACCCGAGGCAGGGUCCUGAAAGCAGGGUGACUCCUCAGCCCCAGGAAAUCCAGUAACCCUUACUGCACAGCCACCAAAGACCAAGGGACCAUGGCCAGUGGGGAAGUAGGAGUGUCUUCGGCCACACACACACAUUCACACGCCAAGGCUUUGGUCCCAGUCUCCCUCAGUCCCUCCCCAGCCGAGGCCUUCCCCAUUCAGCCUCCAUGACACAGAAGCCAGGCAGUUACUCAGAAGCGCUCUCUCGCUCUUGCUCUCUCGCUCGCUCACUCUCUCUCUCUCCCUCUCCCUCUUUUCCUCUCUCUCUCUCUCUCUCUCUCUCUCUGUCUCUCAGCACUUAUGGAUGCUUCAUUACAUAGGGGUGGUUUUUGUUUCGUUUCGUUUUUGGUUCCUUUGUUUUUGUGACAGUCUUACUAUGUAGCCUCCGUUGGCCUCAAGCUCAAGAUCCUCCUGCCUCAGCUUCUAGAAUGCUGGGACUUCAGAUGUUCUCCACUUCUCGAGGCUGGCACAACUGAUGGCAUCAUUGGCCCCUGGAGAUCCAUUUAACCUUCAGCUUCAGUCCCCUCCUCUAUCCAGAGGCUGGACAUCCCAAUCGUGUAAGCAUGCCUCAGUCUUGCAGGUGACUGGCUCCCAUCCCAAAGCAAUCUAAAAAUCCCCUCCCCCAGCCACCAGCUGUCUCAUUAACACACAGAAGGAGGAGCUAAGGGGAGAGAUUCCCAGUGGUGAACUUGUGUUUGGAAGGCUCUGAGUGUUCAAAGAUUUAAGUAGGAUUUUAGUGGCUCCAAGCACAAUCUGCAGACUUUACUUCAUCACUGUGUCCAAGACCAAAUUCUUGGGGACCCCCCUCUCAGUACUUUGUCCCCAUGUUCAUCCAGCAGAACAAAACUGCACUAAGAUGAACACUGAGUUCCCAGGCUGGGCUCAGAUCUUCCAUCCUCCUGCCUCAGCUUUCCUGAGUGCUGAGAUUACAUCCAUUCGCCUCUACACCCAGCCUGUUUUCUUUCUUUUGACCUCUACAAGUACUGAAAUAAUCAUGAUAAAUGAAAUCAAAAUAGGUUUUUUUAAAAGCCUCUUUGAGCAGCCAGAAACAAGUAUGGUUUGCAGCUAUGGCUGCAGCAGCCAGAGGGAUUACCAACUGCCUCUCUGAGGUAGAUGCGGUGACAGGGAGUCAGCACGAAGCCCUGCCCCAUGGGAGCUGCAGUUCUGUGAUGUGUGAAAUACACACUGGUCUCUGUCAUGUUGCCUCAUGCUCUUCAACCCUUGGGUUUUUCCCAGUGAUAAGCGUGUCUUUGGUAUGUCAAUGUAUGUCAGUGAAAUGGUUGUACUCCCAGCACUGGGGAGGCUGAGGCAGGAGGAUUGCUGUGAGUUCAAGGCCAGCCUGGGCUACAUGGUGAGUUCUGAACGGCAUAGCAAUACCCUGUCUUGAAGAAGAACUGGGGGGCGGGGGAGACCAAGACAAUAAAACAGUUGGGACCUGCUUGGGGCUGCAGUUAUAUCUACUGGGCAACAUUGUGAUUAAACAGUCAUGCAUAAUGAGACCUCCACAAAAACCCAUCCCAGCUCUCUGGGAACCUGAGGCUGGAGGGUCACACAUUUGAGCCCAGCCUGGGCAACUUGGCAAAAUCCUGUCUCAAAAUAAAAAAGGCUAGAACUGUAGCUCAGUGGUAAAGGAGGAAGAUCACACACACAGGCACACGUAAUCAUAAAAUGUUAAUGCUCAGAGUCUUCAGAGAUCUUUAGAUCCAUCCCUGUCCAACAGACACGACAUCUUAUGGGAGCCAUUUCUCAGUGGCACAGGCUGGAACCCACAGCCCUCACCCCGGGUUAGGCCACUCUCACACCUUCUAGCUGUCUUAUCUUUGGAAGGGAACAGCUAUCUUUGCGUGAGGAGCAGUCUUCUAGUGGGCUGCCAAGGAGUCCCCAGUCUACUCUGGCCCCAACCCGCCAGCCCAUUUUUGGCUUUUUGGGUUUUUUUGAGAUAGGUCUGGCUCUGUAGUUCAAACUGGCCUUGAAUUCACUAUGUAACCCAGGCUGGCCUCAAACUCAAGGUUAUCCUCCUGUUUCAGCCUCCCGAAUGCUGGGAUUACAGGCAUGUGCCCAUUUUAUUUACAUAUUUACUUAGUGUUUUCUUUUGAGACAGCUAUGUGAUCCAGGGCAGGCUUGAACUUGCUAUGUAACCCAACUGGGCUCUAACUUACAAUACUUGUUCCCCAAAGGGAGAAGGGUAAACCACUUUGUUCUCCGUUGUGGUGAGAAAAGGGCUGGCCUGCAUAGGAGAGGACACUGGGUUCUUCUCCUGCCUCAGAUAUUUAGCAGUUGUGUGUUCUUUUCCAAACCCUUGCUCCUCCUUGGGCUUCAGUUUUCUGCUGUUUGUUUUUUAUUUUUUUAAUAAAAUGAGGUCCAUGUUUAUAUACUGCAUUGUUUCUCUGGUGUGAGAAACCAAAAGUGGAAAUAAGGACUAAAAUGUGUAAUAGAUGUUGGGAAAUGGGAAGAAAAUGUUCAAAUGGGAAGGGGAACAAAGGAGUCGGGAGGGAGAAAGGAAGGAAGGGACAAGAAAGAAAGUAGAAAAUAGAAGGAAAAAAAAUGAAACAAAGCUUUUGUACACAGAAAGGGGGAAAUGGGAAAAAAGAGGCGGGAUGUAUCACCUACAGGUGCAAAUCCCCUAUGAUGAGUGUUAUCAUUAGGUAAGCCUAAAAUGUACCAAGAAAUGUUUUGCUAUUAAGAAGAGAAAUAAAUAAA
Molecule: long non-coding RNA, 5162 nt
Filed under: Heterocephalus glaber (naked mole-rat)
Lineage: Eukaryota; Metazoa; Chordata; Mammalia; Rodentia; Bathyergidae
Description: lncRNA (ENSHGLG00100046785.1)
Source: RNAcentral